This 253-nucleotide ribosomal RNA is filed under the name uncultured bacterium. RNAcentral's name for it is "partial 16S ribosomal RNA". It matches the Rfam family "Bacterial small subunit ribosomal RNA", at positions 524 to 776 of the family's 1533-position model. The record is from RNAcentral.
CACGUAGGCACCAAGCGUUGUCCGGAUUUAUUGGGCGUAAAGAGCUCGUAGGCGGUUCGUUAUGUCGGAUGUGAAAGCCCUUGGCUUAACCGAGGAAGUGCAUCCGAAACUGGCGAGCUAGAGUACGAAAGAGGAUCGCGGAAUUCCCGGUGUAGAGGUGAAAUUCGUAGAUAUCGGGAGGAACACCGGUGGCGAAGGCGGCGAUCUGGGUCGAUACUGACGCUGAGGUGCGAAAGCGUGGGGAGCAAACAGG